Molecule: ribosomal RNA, 254 nt
Filed under: uncultured bacterium
Lineage: Bacteria
Description: partial 16S ribosomal RNA
Rfam family: Bacterial small subunit ribosomal RNA
Source: RNAcentral
UACGGGGGGAGCAAGCGUUGUUCGGAUUUACUGGGCGUAAAGGGCGCGUAGGCGGCCUCUGAAAGUCAGUUGUGAAAUCUCCGGGCUUAACUCGGAAAGGGCAACUGAUACUGCAGGGCUAGAGUGCGGAAGGGGCAACUGGAAUUCUCGGUGUAGCGGUGAAAUGCGUAGAUAUCGAGAGGAACACCUGCGGCGAAGGCGGGUUGCUGGGCCGACACUGACGCUGAAGCGCGAAGGCUAGGGGAGCGAACGGG